This 560-nucleotide long non-coding RNA is filed under the name Rattus norvegicus (Norway rat). Its description in RNAcentral is "long non-coding RNA NONRATT007605". The record is from RNAcentral. Lineage: Eukaryota; Metazoa; Chordata; Mammalia; Rodentia; Muridae.
GACAAUCGGAAGACCGUGGUGGAGCGGCGUAGAACCUUGGCGUGGGAGACACGUAGGGUUCUGGGACUUGUAGUUUUUUCCGUUAUAUCGGGUUCGUGGACUACACUUCCCAAGAUGCACAUGUAAGAAGCUAGUCCCACUGUUGGGUGAGAAGGUAAGUGUUCAGAUCCGGCUGUAGGUUUCCCGCUGAGCAUUCUUACAAGGGAUUCUAUUUGUCCUCUUUUUUCUCGAGGGGACACGGAGGAUUUGUCCCAGCAAAACCCGACGGUUUAGCCGUUCACAUGUAGCUGGAGAAUGUCAUGGAGAAAGCAGAGUCCUGAGCUCAUGGGUAGAAAAGGAAGCCAAGCCUAAAAUGUGUGCCUGUCACUAUAUAACUCCUGCAUUAUAUCAAAGACUGGUCAAAGGUUUGUCUUUACGACUAGAAAACCAGGAAAGUGUGUGUGCCUUGUCUUUUUCUGUAUCCAAAUAGCAGAAUUUACAAUGCAGGGUAAACAGUGAUUACCUAGCGUCCCAGAGGUCCUGGUUUUGGUACCCAGCACCUUGUAGAAAAAAAAAAAAAA